AUUGGACGCUGGCGGCAGGCCUAACACAUGCAAGUCGAGCGGAUGAAGGGAGCUUGCUCCUGGAUUCAGCGGCGGACGGGUGAGUAAUGCCUAGGAAUCUGCCUGGUAGUGGGGGAUAACGUCCGGAAACGGGCGCUAAUACCGCAUACGUCCUGAGGGAGAAAGUGGGGGAUCUUCGGACCUCACGCUAUCAGAUGAGCCUAGGUCGGAUUAGCUAGUUGGUGGGGUAAGGGCCUACCAAGGCGACGAUCCGUAACUGGUCUGAGAGGAUGAUCAGUCACACUGGAACUGAGACACGGUCCAGACUCCUACGGGAGGCAGCAGUGGGGAAUAUUGGACAAUGGGCGAAAGCCUGAUCCAGCCAUGCCGCGUGUGUGAAGAAGGUCUUCGGAUUGUAAAGCACUUUAAGUUGGGAGGAAGGGCAGUAAGUUAAUACCUUGCUGUUUUGACGUUACCAACAGAAUAAGCACCGGCUAACUUCGUG
Molecule: ribosomal RNA, 484 nt
Filed under: uncultured bacterium
Lineage: Bacteria
Description: partial 16S ribosomal RNA
Rfam family: Bacterial small subunit ribosomal RNA
Source: RNAcentral